This 506-nucleotide ribosomal RNA is filed under the name uncultured bacterium. RNAcentral's name for it is "partial 16S ribosomal RNA". It matches the Rfam family "Bacterial small subunit ribosomal RNA", at positions 28 to 507 of the family's 1533-position model. The record is from RNAcentral.
GACGAACGCUGGCGGCGUGCUUAACACAUGCAAGUCGAACGGUGAAGGGACUGGUUUUGCUGGUCCUGGAUGAGUGGCGAACGGGUGAGUAACACGUGAGUAACCUGCCCCCUUCUUCUGGAUAACCGCAUGAAAGUGUGGCUAAUACGGGAUAUUCUGGGUCUGUCGCAUGGUGGGCCUGGGAAAGAUUGCGCCUUUUUUGGUGUUUUUGGUGGGGGAGGGGCUCGCGGCCUAUCAGCUUGUUGGUGGGGUGAUGGCCUACCAAGGCGGUGACGGGUAGCCGGCCUGAGAGGGUGGACGGUCACACUGGGACUGAGACACGGCCCAGACUCCUACGGGAGGCAGCAGUGGGGAAUAUUGCACAAUGGGCGCAAGCCUGAUGCAGCGACGCCGCGUGAGGGAUGGAGGCCGUCGGGUUGUGAACCUCUUUCGCCAGUGAAGCAGGCCUGCCUCUUUUUGUGGGUGGGUUGACGGUAGCUGGAUAAGAAGCGCCGGCUAACUACGUG